RNAcentral lists this ribosomal RNA (237 nucleotides) under Escherichia coli. RNAcentral describes it as "partial 23S ribosomal RNA". It matches the Rfam family "Bacterial large subunit ribosomal RNA", at positions 1143 to 1378 of the family's 2925-position model. Lineage: Bacteria; Pseudomonadati; Pseudomonadota; Gammaproteobacteria; Enterobacterales; Enterobacteriaceae. The record is from RNAcentral.
CACUGGUCGAGUCGGCCUGCGCGGAAGAUGUAACGGGGCUAAACCAUGCACCGAAGCUGCGGCAGCGACGCUGAUGCGUUGUUGGGUAGGGGAGCGUUCUGUAAGCCUGUGAAGGUGUGCUGUGAGGCAUGCUGGAGGUAUCAGAAGUGCGAAUGCUGACAUAAGUAACGAUAAAGCGGGUGAAAAGCCCGCUCGCCGGAAGACCAAGGGUUCCUGUCCAACGUUAAUCGGGGCAGG